AGAGUUUGAUCCUGGCUCAGGACUAACGUUGGCGGCGUGCGUAAUACAUGCAAGUCGCGCGGGGCAGGGGCAACUCUGCCUAGCGGCGAACGGGUGAGUAACACGUGGAUGAUCUACCCCCCGGAUCGGAACAACCAGCCGAAAGGUUGGCUAAUACCGGGUAUGACCACGGCCAGUAUCAUCUGGCUGCGGUAAGAGCAGGGGACCGCAAGGCCUUGCGCCAGGGGAUGAGUCCGCGGCUGAUUAGCUAGUUGGCGGGGUAACGGCCCACCAAGGCGACGAUCAGUAGCCGGCCUGAGAGGGUGACCGGCCACACUGAGACUGAGACACGGCCCAGACUCCUACGGGAGGCAGCAGUAGGGAAUUUUCCACAAUGGGCGAAAGCCUGAUGGAGCAACGCCGCUUGAGGGAUGAAGGAUCUCG
RNAcentral lists this ribosomal RNA (423 nucleotides) under uncultured bacterium. Its description in RNAcentral is "bacterial SSU rRNA". It matches the Rfam family "Bacterial small subunit ribosomal RNA", at positions 8 to 420 of the family's 1533-position model. The record is from RNAcentral.